Ictalurus punctatus (channel catfish) is the source of this 2626-nucleotide long non-coding RNA. Lineage: Eukaryota; Metazoa; Chordata; Actinopteri; Siluriformes; Ictaluridae. The record is from Ensembl.
UACAAUGUGCCAUGCUUGUGUACAGUAGCACUGCCACAUAAUGUCCAUGUUUUAAAUACCUGUGUGUUUAAUUAUUUAUACGCCGUUAGAGCCGGGAUCUUAUUUGUAACCAGUGCCUCUACGAGGUGAGUUUUUACACUUUAGUGUGUUUCUAUUUCUUUAGAUUACCCUGUCUAUUUUUUUGUGACUCUAUUAAGUGGCAUGUUUCUGGAAGAGGAGCUUGUUCAGCCUGUCUGCUGAGGUCUUUAAAACCGAGCUUAAGAAAGCCAUCACACACCUUACUCUCACUGAAAAAGAGACAACAGAUAUAAAUAGACAGCACCAGCAGUGGUUAAUGCCUGUCGCCCUAGACACACACAUUUGCAUAUCUUUUAUGUUCUUUCCUCUCUAAAUCCUUUUUUUUCUUUUCUUCAGGUUCUCUUACUCUUUCUCGUGCAAAGGGUCUCCUCCUGAGGCUCGAAGGGUUUUCUUUUUUCUUUCCCUUCAGAAGGCAGGCCUGUUCAGAAAGGAGCAUUGAAAAGCAGCAGCAGACAGUCGAGUAAUUAAAGAUUUGGGAAGUGUGUUGGAUUUUUAGGAUGUAUGGAGGACACAGAGGUUUCAGGUUUACCAGUCCAAAUGGGGAAAACAAGAUAAAGUAAAGGUGAGUCAGUUUUUUUUUUCUGAAGAACAUCUCUUUCCCUGACUGUGUGGCUUAGUGUCUAGAAGUCUGUUGUUUUCAAUGUGAGCUGGUGAACUGCAGCAUCAGGAAGUGGAGCAACCAUUACGAAUGCAAAGUGGUCAAGGUUAGUGUUCAACUUCAUGCAAAUUAGUCGCAGUGGUAGCUCAGUGGUUAAGACGUUGGACUAGUAAUUAGAAGGUCAUGCCAAGCUGCCACUGUUGGGACUUUUAGCAAGGCCCUUAACCCUAAAGCUGUAUAAAUGCUCAGAUGUAUAAAUGUACAUAAAUGUAAAUCACUCUGGAUAAUGGUGUCUGCCAUGAAUGCAAAUGUAAAUGUAGAAGGGAUGGUGGUUCACUCAUCCUUGACUCUGAAAUUAUCUGUGUUCCACAUACACCGAUCAGCCAUAACAUUAAAACCACUGACAGGUGACAUGAAUAACAUUGAUUAUCUCAUGACAACUGUCAUGAGAUAGCAACUGUCAAGGUGGCGACAGGCGGCUGAUUGAUUGAAGGCAAGCCUGUCUGGUGCAAAGUCCAUAGAAGACCUACUGUAGUACAAAUUGCCAAAAAAGUUAAUACUGUUUAAUGAUUUCUUGUACAUCAUGUGAACUUCUGGGUGUGUGUGCAUUGCUUACCUGGGGAAGUAAUGGCACCAGGAAGGCAAGCCACAGAGGCAGUGGGAUGCUCUGGGGAAUGUUCAUUCAUGUUGGUCCUGGCAUUCAUGUGGAUGUCACGUUGACACGUACCACCUACUUAAUAUUGUUUCAGACCAAAUACACCCUUCAUGGCAACAUUAUUCCCUAAUUACAGUGUCCUCUUGCAGCAGGGUAAUGCUCCCUGCCACACUGCAAAAAUUGUUCAGGAAUGGUUUGAGGAACAAAGAGUUCAAGGUGUUGACUUGGCCUCCAAAUUCCCCAGAUCUCAAUCUGAUCAAGCAUAUUUGGGAUAUACUGGACAAACAAGUCCAAUCCAUGGAGGCCCUACCUUGCAACCUACAGGACUUAAAGGAUCUGCUGCUAACGUCUUAGUGCCAGAUGCCACAGCACACCUUCAGAGGUCUUGUGGAGUUCAUGCCUCAACAGGGUCACGGGGAACCUGGAGCCUAUCCCAGGAAGCAUCGGGCACGAGGCGGGGUACAGGGUGCCAGUCCAUCACAGGGCACAAUCAAAUACACACUCAUUCAUACACUACGGACACUUUGGACAUGCGAAUCAGCAUACCAUGCAUGUCUUUGGACUUGGGGAGGAAACCAGAGUACCCGGAGGAAACCCCCGCAGCACGGGUAGAACAUGCAAACUUCGCAUACACAUGGCCCCAGCGGGACUCGAACCCCAGACCCUGGAGGUGUGAGGCAAACGUGCUAACCACUAUCAUGCUGUUACAGGCAAAUAAUCAUUUUCCAAAGUGUUUUAUGCUUCUUAUAUCACUGCGAUUUGCCAACUAUUAUAAUUUAAAAUGUAUUAAUGAAUGCCACAUCAUAUUUUUUUUUAACAGUUUAACAUUAGUUACAUUUAAUGUUGUGAAACAUCUGUGAGACAAGCUAGUUCCUGCUAAAAUUUAUGUUACAGAACGUGAAGUUAAUUAGAGAAAAAUUCAGCUUAUCAUGCUACCAAGAAACCAGAAAGUGGAAACUCCUCUGUCCUUUAUUGACUAUUACAAAACACUGACACUGGAGACUCCUUCCAUAAAUGUUAAAUAAGCACCUGCUUGCAGAAAUUUUAAACAUAUCAAUGAUUAUGCAUCUUUGUAUCAGACAACCUGAAGAAGGAAUUUCUGCUAAUUACUUCCCCUUAUUUUUGUAUUUCUACUAUGAAAUAGCCAUUUAAAUAAAGGCUUUUAAACAAUUUCAAACAGAAGUGUGCCUUGGAUUGCAUGUUUUGGAUUAUGUUUUUUUACCCCCACCAAAGAGCACCUUCAAAUAUACUCCACAGAACUUCUAAGCAUACCAGAUCUGUUUUUUGAAACGUGU